CUCAGUUCGGAUCGAAGUCUGCAACCCGACUUCGUGAAGCUGGAUUCGCUAGUAAUCGCGCAUCAGCCAUGGCGCGGUGAAUACGUUCCCGGGCCUUGUACACACCGCCCGUCAAGCCAUGAAAGCCGGGGGUACCUGAAGUACGUAACCGCAAGGAUCGUCCUAGGGUAAAACUGGUAAUUGGGGCUAAGUCGUAACAAGGUACC
This 206-nucleotide ribosomal RNA is filed under the name uncultured bacterium. RNAcentral's name for it is "partial 16S ribosomal RNA". It matches the Rfam family "Bacterial small subunit ribosomal RNA", at positions 1287 to 1500 of the family's 1533-position model. The record is from RNAcentral.